This 75-nucleotide small RNA is filed under the name Sphingomonas palmae. RNAcentral's name for it is "Makes More Granules Regulator RNA (mmgR)". It matches the Rfam family "Makes More Granules Regulator RNA (mmgR)". From Rfam's summary of the family: SuhB later renamed mmgR (makes more granules regulator) was a putative non-coding RNA found multiple times in the Agrobacterium tumefaciens genome and related alpha-proteobacteria. Other non-coding RNAs uncovered in the same analysis include: speF, ybhL, metA, and serC. Lineage: Bacteria; Pseudomonadati; Pseudomonadota; Alphaproteobacteria; Sphingomonadales; Sphingomonadaceae. The record is from Rfam by way of RNAcentral.
GGAUCGGGCCUUUCAGGCAUCCUCUCCUAAAAACUUUCACAGGCCGGGCCUUCCCGGCCUUUUUUUUGGUUUCGC